This 45-nucleotide non-coding RNA is filed under the name Trichobilharzia regenti. Lineage: Eukaryota; Metazoa; Platyhelminthes; Trematoda; Strigeidida; Schistosomatidae. The record is from RNAcentral.
AUUCAGUUGACAAGUCCCAAAUAGGACGAAAUGCACAUCCUGGAU